AUGAGCGCUGGCUACAGGCUUAACACCUGCAAGUCGAGGGGAAACGACGGGGAAGCUUGCUUCCCCGGGCGUCGACCGGCGCACGGGUGAGUAACGCGUAUCCAACCUGCCUCUGACUGAGGGAUAACCCGUCGAAAGUCGGCCUAAUACCUCAUGGUAUCGUCUGCGGGCAUCCAACGACGAUUAAAGAUUUCAUCGGUCAGGGAUGGGGAUGCGUCUGAUUAGCUUGUUGGCGGGGUAACGGCCCACCAAGGCUACGAUCAGUAGGGGUUCUGAGAGGAAGGUCCCCCACAUUGGAACUGAGACACGGUCCAAACUCCUACGGGAGGCAGCAGUGAGGAAUAUUGGUCAAUGGGCGAGAGCCUGAACCAGCCAAGUAGCGUGCAGGAAGACGGCCCUAUGGGUUGUAAACUGCUUUUAUGCGGGGAUAAAGUGAGGGACGUGUCCCUCAUUGCAGGUACCGCAUGAAUAAGGACCGGCUAAUUCCGUG
Molecule: ribosomal RNA, 490 nt
Filed under: uncultured bacterium
Lineage: Bacteria
Description: partial 16S ribosomal RNA
Rfam family: Bacterial small subunit ribosomal RNA
Source: RNAcentral